CUUGUUUAUUUGUGGACCCUUGAUUGAAGAUAUCUUAUAUGUUGGGCCCAGCCAGGGCUGUGAAGAUAACCUGCAGCUUUUCCUGCAAGGAGCACUGCGUAUCAUGUGUGAGGGGAGACACGUGGACCAACACAAUGAUGAAUGCUGUGUAUUCCAAUAAGGGGGUGGAUAUAAAACCUGGAAGACAUGCCUGACCCCUCCGGGAGAGUUACAGAAGACCCCUGGAGGAACUGACAUCUAAGUGAAAAGUACCUAAGAUGCCAGGAUUCUCCAAGGAACUAAAAUAAAUAAAAAGGAAAAUACAUUUCUGAUGUGCUCCAUCUGCUGUGAUUUCAACAGAUGCUCCAAGUGGAUGCUCUGAGAAUAGGACCCAAAAAGUCAGCACCAAACCUCCCUUCUCUAGAAAUUUAACUCUGCGCACCUCCAGUCCACUAGCAGUAUUUAUUUCUACCACUUUGAAGAAUCACGCCACACAUUUUGGGGCCACUGCUGUGCUUUCUGCUAAGCCACCAAGAGUUCUACCUGCUACUGCUUUUGCACCACUGGUAAAAAACAACACAAUGAAAAAGG
This is a long non-coding RNA of Mustela lutreola (European mink), 570 nucleotides long. RefSeq lists it as uncharacterized. NCBI's taxonomy places the organism in Eukaryota, Metazoa, Chordata, Mammalia, Carnivora, Mustelidae. The transcript has 3 exons. The record is from RefSeq and is a predicted model, not a curated record.